This 1690-nucleotide long non-coding RNA is filed under the name Chrysolophus pictus (golden pheasant). RNAcentral's name for it is "lncRNA (ENSCPIG00010014715.1)". Lineage: Eukaryota; Metazoa; Chordata; Aves; Galliformes; Phasianidae. The record is from RNAcentral.
NNNNNNNNNNNNNNNNNNNNNNNNNGGGGCCGUUCCCACGCUGUCCCCAUUCAUUCAUUCAUUCAUUCAUUCAUGGCCUUUACUCAUUCAUUCAGCGCUUUACUCGUUCAUUCAUUCGUUUGUUCCCUCCCUUCCUCCAUCACUCCCCGCCCAUCCGUGGCUCUUCCCGGUCCCCGGUGCUUCCAGAUCCGGUUAUCCUGGAUUUAUCCCAAUCCUGGUGCUUGCAACCAGGUUAUCCCGGUGCUUCCAUGUCCUUUUAUCCCCUGUUAUCCCGGUCCAGGUGCUUCCCCAAGCCUGGCAGCCCCCAGUUCUCCCAGUCCUGAUGCUUCCAGUCCUGAUUAUCCCAUGUUAUCCCAGUGCUUCCAGUCCGGUUCUCCUGGUUUAUCCCGCUCCUGGUGCCUUCAGGUGGGCAAUCCUGGUGCCUCCAGACCCGAUUAUCCUGGGUUAUCCCCAUUCUGGUGCUUCCAGAUCCAGUUGUCCCGGAUUAUCCCAGUCCUGAUGCCUGGUUUAUCCUGGUUUAUCCUGGUUUAUCCCAGUGCCUCCAGGUCCGGUUGUCCCGGGUUAUCCCUGUUAUCCCAGCCUCAGUGUCUGCAGCCUGGGCUCUCCCAGUUUAUCCCAGUCCUGCUGCCCUACAGCCCGGGUUAUCCCGGGUAAUCCCAGUCCUCCAGGUCCAGUUAUCCCAGGUAAUCCCAGUCCUCCAGACCCGGUUAUCCCGGGUAAUCCCAGUCCUCCAGCCCCAAUUAUCCCAGGUAAUCCCAGUCCUCCAGCCCUGGUUAUCCCAGGUAAUCCCAGUCCUCCAGGUCCAGUCCUCCCAGGCAAUCCCAGUCCUCCAGCCCCGGUUAUCCCAGGUAAUCCCAGUCUUCCAGCCCCAAUUAUCCCAGGUAAUCCCAGUCCUCCAGCCCCAAUUAUCCCAGGUAAUCCCAGUCCUCCAAACCCGGUUAUCCCAGGCAAUCCCAGUCCUCCAGCCCCGGUUAUCCCGGGUAAUCCCAGUCCUCCAGCCCCGGUUAUCCCAGGUAAUCCCAGUCCUCCAGGUCCAGUCCUCCCAGGCAAUCCCAGUCCUCCAGCCCCAAUUAUCCCAGGUAAUCCCAGUCCUCCAAACCCGGUUAUCCCAGGCAAUCCCAGUCCUCCAGCCCCGGUUAUCCCGGGUAAUCCCAGUCCUCCAGCCCCGGUUAUCCCAGGCAAUCCCAGUCCUCCAGGUCCAGUCCUCCCAGGCAAUCCCAGUCCUCCAGGUCCAGUCCUCCCAGGCAAUCCCAGUCCUCCAGCCCCGGUUAUCCCAGGUAAUCCCAGUCCUCCAGACCCAGUUAUCCCAAUUUAUCCCUGUCCCGGUGUCUCCGAUCCUUUAUUCCCGGUUUAUCCCGGUCCCGUCGCCGUUAUUCCCGGUUCAUCCCGCCGUUUCCCAGGCCGUUCGCUCCCCGCGUUCUCCCGUUUCCCAUCGCCACGCGGCGCAGCGCGCGCGCGGUAAACACUGCGUGUCGCCAUGGCGACGGCGUUCCGCGCCGCUGACGUCACCACGUCCGGAGUCAUUUGUUUACGUCGCCGGGCGACGGCCGUCCCCAUGGCAACGGGGGAGAGAGGGGGCGUGGCCACGGGGCGGUGUAAAGAGGCGUGGUUGGGGAAAAGUGGGCGUGGUUACGGGGAAAGGGGGCGUGGCCUCCGUUUUCCCGCGCUCUGCAGGGAGGGUAAAACCGCG